CACAAAACCUACUUAGGUGGUGUGAUGUCGAGCAUGGUCAGUCAAAUGUAAUAUUGGUAAAAUUCUUAAAUACAUAUGUCUUAUGCAUUUAUAAUCGGCAAUGUCUAUUUAUUUAUUUAUUAUAAUGAAAUUUGAAAGUAUUUAUAAAAAUUUUUAAACGAUGCCAGCUAGCAAUUGGGUGUAGCUACUUUUAUGGCUCCCUCAGUCGCUUCCCGGGAAACCAAAGCUUUUGGGCUCCGGGGGAAGUAUGGUUGCAAAGCUGAAACUUAAAGGAAUUGACGGAAGGGCACCACCAGGAGUGGAGCCUGCGGUUUAAUUUGACUCAACACGGGAAAACUUACCAGGUCCGAACAUAAGUGUGUAAGACAGAUUGAUAGCUCUUUCUCGAAUCUAUGGGUGGUGGUAAAUAGCCGUUCUUAGUUCCUAUAGGAAGUAAAAGUCGUAACAAGGUUUCCGUAGGUGAACCUGCGGAUGGAUCAUUA
This 482-nucleotide non-coding RNA is filed under the name Drosophila willistoni. RNAcentral describes it as "Microsporidia small subunit ribosomal RNA". It matches the Rfam family "Eukaryotic small subunit ribosomal RNA", at positions 625 to 1372 of the family's 1831-position model. Lineage: Eukaryota; Metazoa; Arthropoda; Insecta; Diptera; Drosophilidae. The record is from Rfam by way of RNAcentral.